This 2904-nucleotide ribosomal RNA is filed under the name Escherichia coli. Its description in RNAcentral is "23S ribosomal RNA". It matches the Rfam family "Bacterial large subunit ribosomal RNA". Lineage: Bacteria; Pseudomonadati; Pseudomonadota; Gammaproteobacteria; Enterobacterales; Enterobacteriaceae. The record is from RNAcentral.
GGUUAAGCGACUAAGCGUACACGGUGGAUGCCCUGGCAGUCAGAGGCGAUGAAGGACGUGCUAAUCUGCGAUAAGCGUCGGUGAGGUGAUAUGAACCGUUAUAACCGGCGAUUUCCGAAUGGGGAAACCCAGUGUGUUUCGACACACUAUCAUUAACUGAAUCCAUAGGUUAAUGAGGCGAACCGGGGGAACUGAAACAUCUAAGUACCCCGAGGAAAAGAAAUCAACCGAGAUUCCCCCAGUAGCGGCGAGCGAACGGGGAGGAGCCCAGAGCCUGAAUCAGUGUGUGUGUUAGUGGAAGCGUCUGGAAAGGCGCGCGAUACAGGGUGACAGCCCCGUACACAAAAAUGCACAUAUUGUGAGCUCGAUGAGUAGGGCGGGACACGUGGUAUCCUGUCUGAAUAUGGGGGGACCAUCCUCCAAGGCUAAAUACUCCUGACUGACCGAUAGUGAACCAGUACCGUGAGGGAAAGGCGAAAAGAACCCCGGCGAGGGGAGUGAAAAAGAACCUGAAACCGUGUACGUACAAGCAGUGGGAGCCUCUUAAUGGGGUGACUGCGUACCUUUUGUAUAAUGGGUCAGCGACUUAUAUUCUGUAGCAAGGUUAACCGAAUAGGGGAGCCGAAGGGAAACCGAGUCUUAACUGGGCGUUAAGUUGCAGGGUAUAGACCCGAAACCCGGUGAUCUAGCCAUGGGCAGGUUGAAGGUUGGGUAACACUAACUGGAGGACCGAACCGACUAAUGUUGAAAAAUUAGCGGAUGACUUGUGGCUGGGGGUGAAAGGCCAAUCAAACCGGGAGAUAGCUGGUUCUCCCCGAAAGCUAUUUAGGUAGCGCCUCGUGAAUUCAUCUCCGGGGGUAGAGCACUGUUUCGGCAAGGGGGUCAUCCCGACUUACCAACCCGAUGCAAACUGCGAAUACCGGAGAAUGUUAUCACGGGAGACACACGGCGGGUGCUAACGUCCGUCGUGAAGAGGGAAACAACCCAGACCGCCAGCUAAGGUCCCAAAGUCAUGGUUAAGUGGGAAACGAUGUGGGAAGGCCCAGACAGCCAGGAUGUUGGCUUAGAAGCAGCCAUCAUUUAAAGAAAGCGUAAUAGCUCACUGGUCGAGUCGGCCUGCGCGGAAGAUGUAACGGGGCUAAACCAUGCACCGAAGCUGCGGCAGCGACACUAUGUGUUGUUGGGUAGGGGAGCGUUCUGUAAGCCUGUGAAGGUGGCCUGUGAGGGGUGCUGGAGGUAUCAGAAGUGCGAAUGCUGACAUAAGUAACGAUAAAGCGGGUGAAAAGCCCGCUCGCCGGAAGACCAAGGGUUCCUGUCCAACGUUAAUCGGGGCAGGGUGAGUCGACUCCUAAGGCGAGGCCGAAAGGCGUAGUCGAUGGGAAACAGGUUAAUAUUCCUGUACUUGGUGUUACUGCGAAGGGGGGACGGAGAAGGCUAUGUUGGCCGGGCGACGGUUGUCCCGGUUUAAGCGUGUAGGCUGGUUUUCCAGGCAAAUCCGGAAAACCAAGGCUGAGGCGUGAUGACGAGGCACUACGGUGCUGAAGUGACAAAUGCCCUGCUUCCAGGAAAAGCCUCUAAGCAUCAGGUAACAUCAAAUCGUACCCCAAACCGACACAGGUGGUCAGGUAGAGAAUACCAAGGCGCUUGAGAGAACUCGGGUGAAGGAACUAGGCAAAAUGGUGCCGUAACUUCGGGAGAAGGCACGCUGAUAUGUAGGUGAAGCGACUUGCUCGUGGAGCUGAAAUCAGUCGAAGAUACCAGCUGGCUGCAACUGUUUAUUAAAAACACAGCACUGUGCAAACACGAAAGUGGACGUAUACGGUGUGACGCCUGCCCGGUGCCGGAAGGUUAAUUGAUGGGGUUAGCGGUAACGCGAAGCUCUUGAUCGAAGCCCCGGUAAACGGCGGCCGUAACUAUAACGGUCCUAAGGUAGCGAAAUUCCUUGUCGGGUAAGUUCCGACCUGCACGAAUGGCGUAAUGAUGGCCAGGCUGUCUCCACCCGAGACUCAGUGAAAUUGAACUCGCUGUGAAGAUGCAGUGUACCCGCGGCAAGACGGAAAGACCCCGUGAACCUUUACUAUAGCUUGACACUGAACAUUGAGCCUUGAUGUGUAGGAUAGGUGGGAGGCUUUGAAGUGUGGACGCCAGUCUGCAUGGAGCCGACCUUGAAAUACCACCCUUUAAUGUUUGAUGUUCUAACGUUGGCCCGUAAUCCGGGUUGCGGACAGUGUCUGGUGGGUAGUUUGACUGGGGCGGUCUCCUCCUAAAGAGUAACGGAGGAGCACGAAGGUUGGCUAAUCCUGGUCGGACAUCAGGAGGUUAGUGCAAUGGCAUAAGCCAGCUUGACUGCGAGCGUGACGGCGCGAGCAGGUGCGAAAGCAGGUCAUAGUGAUCCGGUGGUUCUGAAUGGAAGGGCCAUCGCUCAACGGAUAAAAGGUACUCCGGGGAUAACAGGCUGAUACCGCCCAAGAGUUCAUAUCGACGGCGGUGUUUGGCACCUCGAUGUCGGCUCAUCACAUCCUGGGGCUGAAGUAGGUCCCAAGGGUAUGGCUGUUCGCCAUUUAAAGUGGUACGCGAGCUGGGUUUAGAACGUCGUGAGACAGUUCGGUCCCUAUCUGCCGUGGGCGCUGGAGAACUGAGGGGGGCUGCUCCUAGUACGAGAGGACCGGAGUGGACGCAUCACUGGUGUUCGGGUUGUCAUGCCAAUGGCACUGCCCGGUAGCUAAAUGCGGAAGAGAUAAGUGCUGAAAGCAUCUAAGCACGAAACUUGCCCCGAGAUGAGUUCUCCCUGAGACUUAGAGUCUCCUGAAGGAACGUUGAAGACGACGACGUUGAUAGGCCGGGUGUGUAAGCGCAGCGAUGCGUUGAGCUAACCGGUACUAAUGAACCGUGAGGCUUAACCUU